CCUACGGGAGGCAGCAGUGAGGAAUAUUGGUCAAUGGACGAGAGUCUGAACCAGCCAAGUAGCGUGAAGGAUGACUGCCCUAUGGGUUGUAAACUUCUUUUAUAUGGGAAUAAAAUGUUCCACGUGUGGGAUUUUGUAUGUACCAUAUGAAUAAGGUUAGGCUAACUCCGUGCCAGCAGCCGCGGUAAUACGGAGGAUCCGAGCGUUAUAUGGAUUUAUUGGGUUUAAAGGGAGCGUAGGUGGAUUGUUAAGUCAGUUGUGAAAGUUCGCGGCUCAACCGUAAAAUUGCAGUUGAAACUGGCAGUCUUGAGUACAGUAGAGGUGGGCAGAAUUCGUGGUGUAGCGGUGAAAUGCGUAGAUAUCACGAAGAACUCCGAUUGCGAAGGCAGUUCACUGGACUGCAACUGACACUGAGGCUCGAAAGUGUGGGUAUCAAACAGGAUUAGAUACCCGGGUAGUC
RNAcentral lists this ribosomal RNA (460 nucleotides) under uncultured bacterium. RNAcentral describes it as "partial 16S ribosomal RNA". It matches the Rfam family "Bacterial small subunit ribosomal RNA", at positions 338 to 795 of the family's 1533-position model. The record is from RNAcentral.